UGGGAAUUUUGGACAAUGGGCGAAAGCCUGAUCCAGCAAUGCCGCGUGUGUGAAGAAGGCCUUCGGGUUGUAAAGCACCUUUGUCCGGAAAGAAAUCCUUGGCUCUAAUACAGUCGGGGGAUGACGGUAUCGGAAGAAUAAGCACCGGCUAACUACGUGCCAGCAGCCGCGGUAAUACGUAGGGUGCAAGCGUUAAUCGGAAUACUGGGCGUAAAGCGUGCGCAGGCGGUUUGCUAAGACCGAUGUGAAAUCCCCGGGCUCAACCUGGGAACUGCAUUGGUGACUGGCAGGCUAGAGUAUGGCAGAGGGGGGUAGAAUUCCACGUGUAGCAGUGAAAUGCGUAGAGAUGUGGAGGAAUACCGAUGGCGAAGGCAGCCCCCUGGGCCAAUACUGACGCUCAUGCACGAAAGCGUGGGGAGCAAACAGGAUUAGAUACCCUGGUAGUCCACGCCCUAAACGAUGUCAACUAGUUGUUGGGGAUUCAUUUCCUUAGUAACGUAGCUAACGCGUGAAGUUGACCGCCUGGGGAGUACGGUCGCAAGAUUAAAA
Molecule: ribosomal RNA, 549 nt
Filed under: uncultured bacterium
Lineage: Bacteria
Description: partial 16S ribosomal RNA
Rfam family: Bacterial small subunit ribosomal RNA
Source: RNAcentral